Molecule: ribosomal RNA, 460 nt
Filed under: uncultured bacterium
Lineage: Bacteria
Description: partial 16S ribosomal RNA
Rfam family: Bacterial small subunit ribosomal RNA
Source: RNAcentral
CCUACGGGAGGCUGCAGUGAGGAAUAUUGGUCAAUGGACGAGAGUCUGAACCAGCCAAGUCGCGUGAAGGAUGACUGCCCUAUGGGUUGUAAACUUCUUUUAUAUGGGAAUAAAAUGUCCCACGUGUGGGGUUUUGUGUGUACCCUAUGAAAAAGCAUCGGCUAACUCCGUGCCAGCAGCCGCGGUAAUACGGAGGAUCCGAGCGUUAUCCGGAUUUAUUGGGUUUAAAGGGUGCGUAGGUGGAUUGUUAAGUCAGUUGUGAAAGUUUGCGGCUCAACCGUAAAAGUGCAGUUGAAACUGGCAGUCUUGAGUACAGUAGAGGUGGGCGGAAUGCGUGGUGUAGCGGUGAAAUGCUUAGAUAUCACGAAGAACUCCGAUUGCGAAGGCAGCGCACUGGACUGCAACUGACACUGAGGCUCGAAAGUGUGGGUAUCAAACAGGAUUAGAUACCCUGGUAGUC